Molecule: transfer RNA, 81 nt
Filed under: Monosiga brevicollis
Lineage: Eukaryota; Choanoflagellata; Craspedida; Salpingoecidae
Rfam family: tRNA
About the family: Transfer RNA (tRNA) molecules are approximately 80 nucleotides in length.
Source: Rfam by way of RNAcentral
GGUGUUGUGGCCGAGUGGUUAAGGCGUGAGAUUUAGGCUCUCAUGUGUUCGCACGCGCAGGUUCGAACCCUGUCAACGCCA